AAGGAAAACGGUUUGGUAACUGAUUGGACUUCGUGCUGCGGCGGUGUGGGGAAAGUUCGGAGAAUUAUGUUAGCGCCGACUGGGAAAAACUGCUGAGUGCCCAGCUGAGGCAGCCUGUGCCGCGGGGAGCCAUUGAAACGGCGGCGGGAAGCGGGCUGGGGGGACGCUGAGGAAGUUGAUGUGACAAUCCGGAAAAGAGGUCCCUGAUGAACCCAGAAAACCCUCCACCAUAUCCGGGCCCUGGUCCGACAGCCCCAUACCCACCUUAUCCACAACAACCAAUGGGGCCUAUGGGGGCGCCCUAUCCCCCUCCUCAGGGAUACCCCUACCAAGGAUACCCACAGUACGGCUGGCAGGGCGGGCCUCAGGAGCCUCCUAAGACCACAGUGUACGUGGUGGAACGGGAGAAGAAGACGGACAGCGGGUGUCAGGCGGCUCUGGCGGCGUGCUGGGCUGCACUCUGCUGCUGCUGCCUCCUGGACAACUUGGACUGAGCAGCCAGACCCGAGGGGCCCACAGCCUGCCGCCUCCUGUUUGGAAAUAAACAACUAGUGUUGCACACUCUU
Molecule: non-coding RNA, 566 nt
Organism: Oryctolagus cuniculus (rabbit)
Lineage: Eukaryota; Metazoa; Chordata; Mammalia; Lagomorpha; Leporidae
Source: RefSeq, a predicted model, not a curated record